This is a long non-coding RNA of Adelges cooleyi (spruce gall adelgid), 882 nucleotides long. RefSeq lists it as uncharacterized. Lineage: Eukaryota; Metazoa; Arthropoda; Insecta; Hemiptera; Adelgidae. The record is from RefSeq and is a predicted model, not a curated record. The transcript is spliced from 3 exons.
UUCUCACAAUAGCUAUAAUGUAACACUACUAAACCAAUUUACAUUUACUCGAAAAAAAUACGCCAUGGCGCAUAUCAAGGUUAAAGUUUGAAAAUUAUUACCGGCAAUGAUUUUAAAACAGGUGUUUAACCACAGAAUUUGAAGAUCGUAAAUUUAAUAAAAGGUAUAGAAGGUUGGAGUGCGAAACGAUUUACAGCUUACUAAGAAUAAAAUAUAAUGCCGAAGAAAUAACUAUAAAUGGCGAUAGAUGUAGGGGAUGAAAACAAUUUUAUUUUUAAAAAUGAUACGAAUAAUAUGUUCUGUAUAAUGAAUAAUGUAAAAUGUAUUAGGUAUAUGUAUAAAUCUGCACAAAAGCAACAAAUGUGAUGAUAAUCGGUACAAGUAUAAUUAUGGGCGUCAAUCGAAAGUUCUUGUAUGCAUGGAUUUGGAAAUUGUGUACUCAUGUACAACCCUGUCAAACGACACAACCGUGAUAAGAAAACAUGCAGAGGUGAUCUAUCUGAAAAAAUAAUUUUAUUUUUUUAAUUUGCUUGUAAUAACUUACUAGUUAAUACUCUGUAACGCUUUAUUAUAAAUUCCAACUCUAAAACAAUCUUUAAAAGCUAUUUACUAUGAAAAAAAUAGUAAUUACUUUGGUCUUCAACAACUUUAGGAUUAUCAUUUCCUGUAACAAAUACAUCAAAUCAUUAUGCAGUUAAUAAAACCCGGUGUAUUUAUUUCAUAGAACUUAACAGUUACUCAUACAACUCCAUAUUAAAACUUACCUACACGCCGUCUGAUUUUACUUUCUAGAGAUGUUCCAUUACCUCUUCUCUUUUCUGCAAGGGUUGCCAAAUUUGAUCCUACCAAAUCUACGAAAAUAUUUAUUAUAUGGCUGUGUAG